GGACAAGUAGCUCAGCUGGCUAGAGCACGCGCUUCACACGCGCGGGGUCGGGGGUUCGAGUCCCUCCUUGUCCA
RNAcentral lists this transfer RNA (74 nucleotides) under Paraconexibacter antarcticus. RNAcentral describes it as "Paraconexibacter sp. 02-257 tRNA-Val". It matches the Rfam family "tRNA". From Rfam's summary of the family: Transfer RNA (tRNA) molecules are approximately 80 nucleotides in length. Lineage: Bacteria; Bacillati; Actinomycetota; Thermoleophilia; Solirubrobacterales; Paraconexibacteraceae. The record is from RNAcentral.